This 199-nucleotide long non-coding RNA is filed under the name Erythranthe guttata (spotted monkey flower). RNAcentral describes it as "long non-coding RNA (EGUT_LNC001975)". The record is from RNAcentral. Lineage: Eukaryota; Viridiplantae; Streptophyta; Magnoliopsida; Lamiales; Phrymaceae.
UGACCAUAAUCAUUUCAUUAGUGAUUGUCCCAAGCCUAAGAAAAACCAACAUAGAGAUCAAGCCAAUAUGAUAUCCGACGGUGGUGAUGUAUUCUAAUGUGUUAGAAUAUUUGUAUUACUUUGUGUUUUGCUUGUUAUUUGCAUUACUUUGUGUUUUGCUUGUUUUUUGCAUUACUUUGUGUUUUGUUUUUUAAACUUG